This 501-nucleotide ribosomal RNA is filed under the name uncultured bacterium. RNAcentral describes it as "partial 16S ribosomal RNA". It matches the Rfam family "Bacterial small subunit ribosomal RNA", at positions 30 to 523 of the family's 1533-position model. The record is from RNAcentral.
AUUGAACGCUGGCGGCAUGCCUUACACAUGCAAGUCGAACGGCAGCACGGGUGCUUGCGCCUGGUGGCGAGUGGCGAACGGGUGAGUAAUAUAUCGGAACGUACCUUAUUGUGGGGGAUAACGCAGCGAAAGCUGUGCUAAUACCGCAUAAUCCCUAAGGGGGAAAGCGGGGGACCGUAAGGCCUCGCGCAAUUAGAGCGGCCGAUACCUGAUUAGCUAGUUGGUGAGGUAAAGGCUCACCAAGGCAACGAUCAGUAGCUGGUCUGAGAGGACGAUCAGCCACACUGGGACUGAGACACGGCCCAGACUCCUACGGGAGGCAGCAGUGGGGAAUUUUGGACAAUGGGGGCAACCCUGAUCCAGCAAUGCCGCGUGAGUGAAGAAGGCCUUCGGGUAGUAAAGCUCUUUUGUCAGGGAAGAAACAGCAGCUCUAACACAGUAUGCGAAUGACGGUACCUGAAGAAUAAGCACCGGCUAACUACGUGCCAGCCGCCGCAGUAA